Molecule: ribosomal RNA, 445 nt
Filed under: uncultured bacterium
Lineage: Bacteria
Description: partial 16S ribosomal RNA
Rfam family: Bacterial small subunit ribosomal RNA
Source: RNAcentral
GUGAGGAAUAUUGGUCAAUGGACGAGAGUCUGAACCAGCCAAGUAGCGUGAAGGAUGACUGCCCUAUGGGUUGUAAACUUCUUUUAUAAGGGAAUAAAGUGAGGGACGUGUCCCUUUUUGUAUGUACCUUAUGAAUAAGGAUCGGCUAACUCCGCGCCAGCAGCCGCGGUAAUACGGAGGAUCCAAGCGUUAUCCGGAUUUAUUGGGUUUAAAGGGAGCGUAGGUUGACAUAUAAGUCAGCUGUGAAAGUUUACGGCUCAACCGUGAAAUUGCAGUUGAUACUGUAUGUCUUGAGUGUACAAGAGGUGGGCGGAAUUCGUGGUGUAGCGGUGAAAUGCUUAGAUAUCACGAAGAACUCCAAUUGCGAAGGCAGCUCACUGGGGUACAACUGACACUGAGGCUCGAAAGUGUGGGUAUCAAACAGGAUUAGAUACCCGUGUAGUCC